Molecule: transfer RNA, 90 nt
Filed under: Candidatus Peregrinibacteria bacterium
Lineage: Bacteria; Candidatus Peregrinibacteriota
Description: tRNA-Ser
Rfam family: tRNA
About the family: Transfer RNA (tRNA) molecules are approximately 80 nucleotides in length. Their secondary structure includes four short double-helical elements and three loops (D, anti-codon, and T loops).
Source: RNAcentral
GGAGAGAUGGCUGAGUGGUCGAAAGCGCUCGCUUGGAGUGCGAGUAUACUCGCAAGAGUAUCCAGGGUUCGAAUCCCUGUCUCUCCGCCA